RNAcentral lists this ribosomal RNA (632 nucleotides) under uncultured bacterium. RNAcentral's name for it is "bacterial SSU rRNA". It matches the Rfam family "Bacterial small subunit ribosomal RNA", at positions 37 to 683 of the family's 1533-position model. The record is from RNAcentral.
UGGCGGCGUGCCUAACAAUGCAAGUCGCACGUCCUCUCUUUCCUUCGGGGGAGAGAGGGAGUGGCGGACGGGUGAGUAACACAUGGGUGACCUGGCCUGAAGUGAGGGAUACCGGCGAGAAAUCGCCGACAAACCCGCAUAAGCUCUUUGUCGUAGGGGGUAGAGAGCAAAGCCCGCAAGGGUGCUUUGGGAUGGGCCUGUGGCCGAUUAGCUAGUUGGGGGGGUAAGCGCCUCCCAAGGCGACGAUCGGUAGCUGGUCUGAGAGGACGAACAGCCACACUGGGAUUGAGAACGGCCCAGACUCCUACGGGGGGCGGCAGUGAGGAAUUUUCCGCAAUGGACGAGAGUCUGACGGAGCAACGCCGCGUGCAGGAGGACGCUUUUCGGAGUGUAAACUGCUUUUCCCAGGGACGAGGACGGACGGUACCUGGGGAAGAAGCCCCGGCUAACUACGUGCCAGCAGCCGCGGUAAUACGUAGGGGGCGAGCGUUGUCCGGAGUUACUGGGCGUAAAGGGCAUGCAGGCGGUCUGACGCGUGUGCUGUGGCAGCGGCUGGCUUAACUAGCCGAGCAUAGGACAGACGGUUGGACUUGAGGGCUCGAGAGGGACACAAAAUUCCGGGUGGAGUGGUG